UUUCCGUAGGUGAACCUGCGGAAGGAUCAUUACAGAGUUCAUGCCCUCACGGGUAGAUCUCCCACCCUUGAAUAUUUAUACCUUAGUUGCUUUGGCAGGCCGUGGAAACACCAUGGGCUCCGGCUUAUGCGUGCCUGCCAGAGGAAACAAACUCUGUUUUUAGUGACGUCUGAGUACUAUAUAAUAGUUAAAACUUUCAACAGCGGAUCUCUUGGUUCUG
RNAcentral lists this unclassified non-coding RNA (220 nucleotides) under plant metagenome. RNAcentral describes it as "partial contains small subunit ribosomal RNA, internal transcribed spacer 1, and 5.8S ribosomal RNA". The record is from RNAcentral.